This 250-nucleotide ribosomal RNA is filed under the name uncultured prokaryote. RNAcentral describes it as "partial 16S ribosomal RNA". It matches the Rfam family "Bacterial small subunit ribosomal RNA", at positions 524 to 773 of the family's 1533-position model. The record is from RNAcentral.
UACAUAGGGGGCGAGCGUUGUCCGGAAUGACUGGGCGUAAAGGGAGUGUAGACGGCUUUGUAAGUUAAGAGUGAAAGCCCGCGGCUCAACUGCGGAACUGCUCUUAAAACUGCAUGGCUGGAGUGUAGGAGAGGUAAGCGGAAUUCCUAGUGUAGCGGUGAAAUGCGUAGAUAUUAGGAGGAACACCAGAGGCGAAGGCGGCUUACUGGACUAUAACUGACGUUGAGGCUCGAAAGCGUGGGGAGCGAAC